RNAcentral lists this unclassified non-coding RNA (349 nucleotides) under soil metagenome. Its description in RNAcentral is "partial contains 5.8S ribosomal RNA, internal transcribed spacer 2, and large subunit ribosomal RNA". The stretch from base 1 to 120 matches the Rfam family "5.8S ribosomal RNA", at positions 35 to 154 of the family's 154-position model. The record is from RNAcentral.
GAUGAAGAACGUAGCGAAAUGCGAUAAGUAGUGUGAAUUGCAGAAUUCAGUGAAUCAUCGAGUCUUUGAACGCACAUUGCGCCCCCUGGUAUUCCGGGGGGCAUGCCUGUCCGAGCGUCAUUGCUGCCCUCAAGCACGGCUUGUGUGUUGGGCUCUCGCCCCCCGCUUCCGGGGGGCGGGCCCGAAAGGCAGCGGCGGCACCGCGUCCGGUCCUCGAGCGUAUGGGGCUUCGUCACCCGCUCUGUAGGCCCGGCCGGCGCCCGCCGGCGAACACCAUCAAUCUUAACCAGGUUGACCUCGGAUCAGGUAGGGAUACCCGCUGAACUUAAGCAUAUCAAUAAGCGGAGGA